Molecule: ribosomal RNA, 420 nt
Filed under: Roeboides descalvadensis
Lineage: Eukaryota; Metazoa; Chordata; Actinopteri; Characiformes; Characidae
Description: partial 12S ribosomal RNA
Rfam family: Bacterial small subunit ribosomal RNA
Source: RNAcentral
GGGAUUAGAUACCCCACUAUGCUUAGCCUUAAACCUAGAUGUAAAUCUUACAAAUACAUCCGCCAGGGUACUACAAGCGCUAGCUUAAAACCCAAAGGACUUGACGGUAUCCCAGACCCGCCUAGAGGAGCCUGUUCUAGAACCGAUAAUCCCCGUUAAACCUCACCACCCCUUGUUUUCUCAGCCUAUAUACCGCCGUCGCAAGCUUACCCUGUGAAGGCCUAAUAGUAAGCAAAAUGGUAUUGCACCAGAACGUCAGGUCGAGGUGUAGCUCACGAGGUGGGAAGAAAUGGGCUACAUUUUCUGUAUCAGAAAAAUACGAAUAACACUAUGAAAUUAGUAGUUGAAGGUGGAUUUAGUAGUAAAAAACAAAUAGAGAGUCUUUUUGAACCAGGCUCUGAGAUGCGUACACACCGCCCC